This 8023-nucleotide long non-coding RNA is filed under the name Sus scrofa (pig). RNAcentral's name for it is "lncRNA (ENSSSCG00025014237.1)". The stretch from base 5492 to 5564 matches the Rfam family "tRNA". The record is from RNAcentral. Lineage: Eukaryota; Metazoa; Chordata; Mammalia; Artiodactyla; Suidae.
UUUUUUUUUUUGGCCUUUGGUCUCUUUGUCUUUUUUUUUUAGGCCCGCGCCCACAGCACAUGGAGGUUCCCAGACUAGGGGUCGAAUGGGAGCUAUAGCCGCUGGCUUAUGCCACAGCCACAGCCAUGCCAGAUCCAAGCUGUGCCUGCAACCUACACCACAGCUCACGGCAACGGCAGAUCCUUAACCCACUGAGCGAGGCCAGGGAUCGAACCUGCUACCUCAUGGUUCAUUCCACGACGGGAACUCCUGCCAGCCUAACAUUCUAGAGCCAGACACCAGCACUGCCUUAGCGAGAGUGACAGCACAGGUUCCUGCAGUGGGGCGAUCUUGUCAGGCUGGCAGAGUGACAGAAUCAGCACCAGAGUGGAGACCACCAGAAACUCCAGGAGCAGAAAACAGGGGCAAGGCAGUGCAACGAAGCCCGACUGCCUGGACCUGGCAGACAGGAAGUCCAAUUCAAGCCUUUUUACCCACAAUCCCAUGGACUUCAGGUGGUCUCGCUACAGCCAAGUGGAGGAGGUCACAGAGUCCUUAUUUGAGCUUUCUUCCAACCUUGUCACAGAGGAAUAGGUCCAAUCAGGACCAGCCGAUGCCUUGGCUGGUCAGUGUCUAGGAGGCAGCGUAUGGAAAACUGAAAUUUGAGACAGCUUCAAGCCAAGGAUGGGCUAUGGGCAAGAAGUGAAUGGCCAACACAUACCAAGUAGUUGCCAUGCUGCCAUCUUCAGGAAGGAGUUAGCAAGAUGGGCUCUGGAGUUAGCCAGAUCUGGGUGGGAAUCCCCUCACCUUUGGGUAAGCUAUUUAACCCUUCCAAGCCUCAGUUUUGUCAUCUGGAAAAUGAGGCACCACCCCCUCUUAGAGACCAGGUACAUUAUAGACUUACUGGGUAUAUAAAGCCUUGAGCCUGGUACCUGAACAUAGUUAAGCCUUUAACACAUAGUAAACCUUUUCUUUUCUUUUCUUUUUGCACCUGCACCUGCGGCAUAUGGAAGUUCCCAGGCCAGGGGUCAAAUCAGAGCUGCAGGUGCCAGCCUACGACACAGCUGUGGCAACACGGGAUCCAAGCCACGUCAGCAACCUACGCCAUAGCUUGCGGCAAUGCCAGAUCCUUAACACGCUGAGUGAGGCCAGGGAUUGAACUCACAUCCUCACAGAGACAAUGUCGGGUCCUUCACGCACUGAGUCAUAACAGGAACUCCACAUGUUACCUAAUCAUAUUUUUAUCCUUAACACACGGCUUAUUCCCUGCGAUCUCUACCAACACAGGCUGGACCUGAUUCAAGGUCAGUCUCCCUUAUGUACGUGCACAGAUGACCCAAAGAAGGAUUCGUUCUAGCUUUGGAAGGCACUGAUGUUUUCAUUUAAGGAAGGAACAGAUUUUCUUUCUUAAGGAUUUUAGGCUUGGGCUCACAUUUAAAUAUUUUGCAUUUCCUGGGCCAGCCAUGUCGGAAGACAGGGUCCUAGAAACGUACUCAGUGGCUGAAGCCGUCUAGCAGAUGAUGAGAAAUGGUCUCAGGAUAAUCCCCAAGUGGAAAGACCAUGGGCCAUUUCAACUCACCAGGUGCAAAGACUUAGGACAACAAGUCACGUACAUGGACAUGACUCAUCAGAGCAGAAUCCUCUCUUCAAAGCAGAGUAUGACCUGGUGGUUCUUGGUAGAUUGAGUCAAGUGCCUUUCCCAUUCACUCGCCUUACCUUCACUAUUCCACCCAUACCACGCGUCCACAUUAGAGAGUUGCCAAAUUCUCACUUUGCUUCCCCUGAGCACGUCCUGCUCGCUGAAAGCCAUCAGCAAGCGGCACACGCGAGCUUAGCCAAGCUCCAACACAGUUUUUAUCUUUCUUGCAGCCAUGAGUGCUAAAAUCUUCCAUAAAGUUUUACGUUGUGCUAUUUAAAGAUGGUUUACCUUAGGUUAAGGCUUUGUCAGGAGAGAAGGAAUACACCUCCCAUUCCACAGGAGUCAAACCUUCAUAAAUAUUUCUGGAUAAAUCACAGAGAGCUUGACAGGAGUGCAAAGGAAAAGGAGAAACAUUCACCAAGCAAUUUGAAACAAACAAACAAAAACAGGGAGGUGUAAGCGGGAGGAUAAGGACGGGGUGUGAAGGACAAAUCCCCUUUUCUGAUCCAAAGAAAAUUAAAACUUAUUAGGGAUGAAGUUCCCAUUGUGGCUCAGUGGUUAACAAAUCCACCUAGGAACCAUGAGGAACUCCUAGGCAAUAUAUUUUUGAAGCAAGCAGGUAAAUGUGAAUAUGAACUAGAUCCCUAGGAAAGAUGACACAAUCGUUGUUGUUAUGACAGUGGGUGGCACUGUUACAAUUAAACACCAGAAGUUACAUUAGCAUGUAAGCAAAAACUGGUUUUUUAAAGGAUGCAUACUGAAGGAUUUAGGGAUAAAAUAUGAUGUCUGGGAUUUGCUUUAACCUAUUUCAGUCAAACAAAAAGAGGUAUCAAUGAAGAAAGCCUCAAAACGGUGGUAACUGUUGAAUCUGCAUGUGGAUAUACCUUUGUUCAUUACAAAAGUUCUCUAGGCCUUUUUUUGUUUGUUCGUUUGUUUUUUAGGGCCUCACCAGCCUGUAUCUGGAGAUUCCCAGGCUAGGGGUCAAAUCAGAGCUACAGCCGCCAGCCUACACCACAGCCACAGCAACUCCAGAUACGAGCCGCAUCUGCAACCUAUAGCACAGCUCCAGAUACGAGCCGCAUCUGCAAUCUAUAACACAGCUCAUAGCAACGCCGGAUCCUCAACCCACUGAGCGAGGCCAGGGAUCAAACGUGCAUCCUCAUGGAUGCUAGUCAGAUUCAUGUGCACUGAGCCACAAUGAGAAUUCCUCUACUCUUUUUAAUGUUUGAAAAGUUUUCAUAAAUUUUUUAAAUAUUUCAUAAGGUAUAUAUCUCUGAGCUUGCCUCCUGAAAGCUCACCAAGCUUUCAAGCUGUUCCUCUUCAAGACCCUUUGUAACUUUUCCUUUUUAUGGAUGCACCUGCAGCACAUGGAGGUUCCGGGCUAGGGGUCCAAUCAGAACUGCAGCUGCCAGACUAUACUACAGCCACAGCAAUCCCAGAUCCGAGCCACAUCUCCGACCUUACACCGCAGCAGUGACAAUGCCAAAUCCUUAACCUCUCGGCCACCAAAGAAUUCUGAGAAGGUACUUAAAUAUUUAAAUGGAUAAACUGAACUUUUCUUCUUAAAAGCCUUUUACCAAGGCUAAGCAGAAAACUACCACUUAAUGAGCAGCUUACAUCUAUUAUUUAAUCUUCGUGAUAAUCCUAUGAGGGCAGGGAGUACUGUGUUACAAUUAAAAUCCUAGGUUUCUUUAACCUCUACACCCAAGAUGACACACACCUGGCAGACAUGCUUCCAGCCUGUUUCUGGGCCCAGGACAGACAUCACCAAUAGAUCCCCAAAUUCUUUCCACUGAGUCUGAAUUCAACACAGGGCUGCAGGCAGUGAUCGUCACUUGAUUAGGUUUUGGUCCAUGAAGUGAUAUUUACCUGCCACUCCCACACUAGGUCUUGCUAUUAAAAAGCCAGUAUCAGUGUGACAGAACCACCUCUCCAGUAGUUCUGGGGUCCAUUCUUGCCUCUUCAGGAAAUGCAACAUCUAAGGUUCCAAAUAAGCCUUGGCCUUGGUGAGCGAUACUGCCAGACCACUGGAUCAGCCUCCAGAAGGUUUCUAAAUAGCAGAGCCCAGCUGCCAAAGUCCUCAGAGGCUUGGCAUGCAAGGAAGGGCUCCCCUGUGGGGACCGCUGGCUGUCCCUGUCAGUUACAGAUCAGAAUUUCCAGCUCAGCUACUCUUCAGCUUCCCACACCCUCCUGGCAAGAAGGCACACGGAGGCACAAGGACCACAGGCAGGAGUCAGGAGGCCUUUGUCCAGCCCGGCUCUGCCUCUCCUGGCAGACCUCUCCUGGCGCACCCACGGGCAGCCUGCCUCGCUGCCUCCCACCUCAGAUUCUGUAUCUGAAAGGUGCACUGCUUGAGCCAUUUUUAGAAUCCCUUUCAGAUGCAAGGUUAGAUGCUCCAUUUUCAGAGCUUUGGAAUUAUGUGCAUAACCCCCAGGGCACAGAGGAGGUCUCCUAUCAAUGUUUAUAAGAGGGUGGGGAAGAGGACCAGUUUGGAAACAAAGGAGCAUCUUAAGUGGACCAUCAAUGGGCUCCAGCAGAAGAAGGUCUGAAGGUGGUAGAGCGUACCAGGUCCUCAAGACACAUUAGGAGUUCAUAAACCUUCCACUAUGUUCUUCCCGCAUUGAGGCCUUCUGAUAAUGGGAUCAAAUCCAUGGGUCCAAAGUCUGCUGUUUAUUGCCCAGGUGACCUGGAACAAGGAAACUCUCAGUGUUCGUUUCCUCAUUUAUAAGAGGAAAAUAAUUAUAGCAUCUACUGUGUAGAGUGGUUGGAAUAGUAACAUCAUGCCUUAAGGAACUUAGAGCAGUGCAUGACAGUACAUGCUCAAAGUUAGCUAUUACUAUUGAUGAAGUAAAAUUCAUAUUUAUGGCAAGACAAGAAAAAUUAAAACAUACCAUUUUUCCUUGCCUAUUUGGGCCUCCCUCCUCCCUUUUAUGGUACAUCUGCACUAACCAGACUUCCUCAGGAGAUAAUCUUCCCUCUUAAUCUCAUCCAGGGCCACAACUCCUCAAGAGAUAACCUUCCUUCUCAAUCUUCUAAGAGGCCAUGACCCACUACCCUUCGUACAUGUAGAUUCUGUAGACCAUCAAUAAUAUGUCAUUGAAUGUACAGACUCCUGUCUCAAAAACUUAGAAAACUGUGCUUCCACCUCUAAUGGGAAGAACAGUUCUGAGAGCUUUCUGAAGGGCUAUUCCAGGGUUAUGAUCCUCAGUGUGGCUCAAAUAAAAUUUUCCGUUUCUUGGAGUUCCCGUGGUGGCACAGUGGUUAACGAAUCCGACUAGGAACCAUGAGGUUGCGGGUUCGGUCCCUGGCUUUGCUCAGUGGGUUGAGGAUCCGGCGUUCCCAUAAGCUGUGGUGUAGGUCACAGAUGCGGCUCAGAUCCCGCGUUGCUGUGGCUGUGGUGUGGGCUGGUGGCUACAGCUCCGAUUAGAUCCCUAGCCUGGGAACCUCCAUGUGCCGUGGGAGCGGCCCUACAAAAGACCAAAAAAAAAAAAAAAAAAAAUUUCCAUUUCUUUCUUGGAUUGACUGAUUAAUUUUUCAUUGAUAGUAUUAAUACUCUUAUACUAGUCCAACUACAAACUGGAUUAUCCAACCCAGAAGGGAGAUUCUGCCACCUGGUAGAUGCUGGAUAAAUGUUACUAAGUGAAUGAAUGAAUGAGGUAAAAAACCACUCCUCAUUCCUCCCAGAACUUCCUCCUUUCUCUGUGCUGACUGAUGGGUUAGGAUGGUUUCCUCCAAAACUAGAUUUUACACAGAGGGACCCACAUGGUUGGGAGCAAUUCUCAUCGCACUUGAGGUAAGAAAAUAUCAAUUCCAAGUGGAUUGUGAAACCAUACUUUUUAAACUUUAGAGCACCUACUUAAAAAACCUAGCAAUUCCCUGGUGGCCUAGUGGUUAAGGAUUCAGUGUUGUUACUGUUGUGGCUCAGGUUCCAUCCCUGACCUGGGAACUUCUGCAUGCCACAGGUGUGGUCAAAAAUAAAACAAAACGAAACAAAACAACCCCCCCCCAAAAAAAAAACCUACACAAUAAAAUAUAGUCAAAAAAUACAACUAAUUUGGGAAUACCCAUCAUGUCUCAGCAGAAAUGAAUCCAACUAGCAUCCAUGAGGAUGGGGGUUCAAUCCCUGGCCUCACUCAGUGGAUUAAGGAUCCAGCUCUAUUGUGAGCUCUGGUGUAGGUUGCAGACGUGGCUUGGAUCCCGCACUGCUGUGGCUGUGGCAUAGGCUGGGAACUUGCAUAUGCCACGGGUAUGGCCCUAAAAAAGCAAAACAAAAACAAAAACAAUAACAAUAACAACUAAUUUAAAAGCAAGGAAUGAAGAAAGAGAGGAAAAAAGAGGAAACAAACCAACAAACAAAAAAUGGUAGUACCCAGGUCCAAAUAUAUCAAUAAUUACAUUAAAUGUAAAUGGUCUAAACACACCAAUUAAAAACAGAGACUGUGAAAGUAGAUAAAAUACAAUACUAUGCUGUUUAUCAGAAACUCACCUGGUGUAUAUAUAAACCAGUUAAAAUUAAAUGUAUGGAAAAAUACACUAGGCAAACAUGUUAUCAAGAGGAAACUGGAGUGGCUACCAUUACGAUCAGAUAAAGCAGACUUCAGAGCAAAGACAAUUAUUAGGGGCAAAGGGGGCAUUACAAUGCUAGCUUUUAUAUAAAGCAUCAGAGAAGUUUCUAGCAGAAUAGGGUGGGAGCCAUUCAGAAAGGGCAUCUUUUCCCCACUCAAGAGGCAACACUUCCAGUUCCCCGAGGGCCCAGGAGCAGAAGAGGCACUUGCUCUCCCUCCUGGGGCUUAAGGCACAUUCAAUUGUCUUCACUCUCUCCCAGUUCCCUUCCUGCCUCGAUUAGCUUUUGAGGGAAAGCAACCUCACAGGUGACAGGAGUCAGUGACUUUGUUGGAAAAGCCACCCCCCAUCCCCAAGCUUGCGGGAAAUUCUUAGCUCAACAUCUUACAGCAUCAAUGGGGCUCUACAUCCGUACUGAUAAAAAUGGGGAGCAAAAACCUUCCUCACUUUUACUCCUUCUCCUCUCCCAGAUAAAUUUCUCCCAAGAGAAACUAGAUACUAAACUAGAAACUAGAAAAAAAUAAACCUUCAACAAGCAAAUGAUCCUGCCCAGGAGAAAGGGUUCUGGAUUAUGUUUUCUGCUUCUCUGACCUUGGCAGGGUCUGGUUUAAACAAGCCCCUGUGGCGUAUUGUCUGGAUAGGAUGCACUCUGUCUGUUGUGUGGCCUUCCAGGCCCAGCUCCUCACAGUGGGUUUAACACCUCCAAUCCUCAGGCUGCCUGCAAAUGUGUCAUCCAGUCCAGCGUGUGAAAAUACAGAGAUUAUUGCCUGGGGUCGGGGGCAGGGGGCGCUCCACAGCUCUGGACAACCCUGAUUCCACCCAAUUCUAGAAAUAAAGAUUUGGUUUGUGCUCAGACUGGUCCUGCUGUCCUGGCUGUGGACAGGCUGGGUUGGCAGCUGAGAGUCAGAAGUCAGACAGAUGGAAGUAUCACGUGGGUCAGACAGGCUGGCAGGAGGCCCACCCAGUACUGUCCUUCUGGAAAGGCACUGGCCUCAGCCAGGAGGCAAUCUUCUUUCUUCCCAGGCCUGCAGUUUCAUGAGUGAUGAAAUCUGCUAUCAGGGGAGAACUCAUUUUUUUGACUGUGAGAAAUCCUGCAGUGACAGUCUCCAUCCACGGCGCUGGGGUGAGGGACGUGGGUACUGCAGCUGGAGAGAGCUGGGCGUGAGCCUGACUUUGCUGCUGCUCACUUGCUGUGUGACUUGGGGAAGGUCGCUUAAGCUCUCCAAGCCUGUUGCGUCUUCGGCAAACCUAGAACCUAGCAUCUGUCCUCCUAUCAGUGUUGUAAGGAUUGAAAGAAAUGAAGCAUGCAAAAUCCUGAGCACGGGGCCUGCCCAGAGUAACUGCUGAGUAAACAGGUCCUGUUAUAAUUGCAAUAGGAUCAUUCAUUCCUCCAGGGCACAAACCACUCCUUCUGUGUCCUUCAUGGUGCCUACAAGAUGCCGGCCACAGGGCAGCCCAUCAAGGAGCCCUCUUUGGCUAAACACUCCCACUAUCUGGAUCUAGUUAGCUGUAGGUACUUCAAAAGGAACAUUUAAUAACACCCUUCCUUGUCUGGUUUAGUUCUGAAAUGGAAAGCAAAUUAGCCACCAAGCCAUUCAGGAUUCUGAAAACAUGUGGUUUCUAAUAUUAUCACACCUUCCAUUUGCAUCUGCAGCCGAUUAAAAACAAGGCUCUGAGAGAUGAACGUGUCUAUAAUACUUGACAACGCACAGCUCAGACCAAACGUUCCCACUAAAACUUGAAGCAUGUCAAAGUGGCAUCAAGUUGGAGACAUACCGAAGAAGAGAAAGGGCGCUUCAAUUCAUCUGGCAUGAUUUAAGAGACCAUUAAGGCAGAAAGAAG